RNAcentral lists this ribosomal RNA (253 nucleotides) under uncultured bacterium. RNAcentral's name for it is "partial 16S ribosomal RNA". It matches the Rfam family "Bacterial small subunit ribosomal RNA", at positions 524 to 776 of the family's 1533-position model. The record is from RNAcentral.
UACGUAGGGUGCGAGCGUUGUCCGGAAUUAUUGGGCGUAAAGGGCUCGUAGGCGGUUUGUCGCGUCGGGAGUGAAAUCCACUGGCUUAACUGGUGGCUUGCUUUCGAUACGGGCAGACUGGAGGUAUGCAGGGGAGAACGGAAUUCCUGGUGUAGCGGUGAAAUGCGCAGAUAUCAGGAGGAACACCAGUGGCGAAGGCGGCUUCCUGGCCUGUAACUGACGCUGAGACGCGAAAGCGUGGGGAGCGAACCGG